This 837-nucleotide unclassified non-coding RNA is filed under the name Hevea brasiliensis (rubber tree). The record is from RNAcentral. Lineage: Eukaryota; Viridiplantae; Streptophyta; Magnoliopsida; Malpighiales; Euphorbiaceae.
AUAGAUGAAAAGUGGUUCAUACGUGCACAAAUCUUAGAAAAUAAAUAGUUCUCAAACUGUUCACAAAUAAUGAGUGCAAAAUACACAAAAAAUACAGACCAAAUUGCACAGCUCUUUAAGCUAUUAUUAAGUAGAAAAAAAAGAAUUCCUACUUCUACAAACAGAUCAUAACACCAAAAGUGGCAGCUGUGGUGUCAUGAAUAACAAUACACAUAUUAGAUCUCUGACUUUAGGCUUUAGCUGUCUUGGUCUUCAGAAACCACACACAGUGCGGUAAGAAUGGAGUUAACUUCACUCGGCUCUAGACUGCCCAGCUCGGGAAGACAAGAUAAUGCCAACAAUAAGCCCAUAAAGAGCCAAGGCUUCAGCGAAAAUGAGAAUGAGGAUCAUUCCGACAAAAAGCUUGGGUUGUUGUGCAUUAGCCCUAACACCAGCAUCUCCAACAAUACCAAUAGCCAUUCCAGCAGAAAGACCAGCAAGACCACAAGCAAGUCCAGAUGAGAGAUGAGCAUAGCCAUCAAAUAGGUAAUACGACUUUGUUUUGGGGUUAAUCCCAGUACUGAUGAUCACAGCAAUAAUCAAGCCAUAAAUACCUAACACACCAGCCAUAACCACUGGCACAAUGGACUUCAUCACCAACUCUGGCCUCAUCACUCCCAUUGACGCCACUCCAACACCACUCUUUGCUGUUCCAUAAGCUGCCCCCAUACAUGAGAAGACGAGGGCAGCGGCGGCGCCAAGGAAGCCGAAGAAGGGAGCAGUUUCAUCUCCGGCAAAGUUCGACAUUUUCGUUAGGAUUUGGAUCUGAGAAUUUUGAGUUUUGGAGUUGAAUAGAUC